AUUGAACGCUGGCGGCAUGCCUUACACAUGCAAGUCGAACGGCAGCGGGGGAGAAGCUUGCUUUUCCUGCCGGCGAGUGGCGAACGGGUGAGUAAUACAUCGGAACGUGCCCUGUAGUGGGGGAUAACUAGUCGAAAGAUUAGCUAAUACCGCAUACGACCUGAGGGUGAAAGUGGGGGACCGCAAGGCCUCAUGCUAUAGGAGCGGCCGAUGUCUGAUUAGCUAGUUGGUGGGGUAAAGGCCUACCAAGGCGACGAUCAGUAGCUGGUCUGAGAGGACGAUCAGCCACACUGGGACUGAGACACGGCCCAGACUCCUACGGGGGGAAGCAGUGGGGAAUUUUGGACAAUGGGCGAAAGCCUGAUCCAGCAAUGCCGCGUGUGUGAAGAAGGCCUUCGGGUUGUAAAGCACUUUUGUCCGGAAAGAAAUGGCUCUGGUUAAUACCUGGGGUCGAUGACGGUACCGGAAGAAUAAGGACCGGCUAACUACGUGCCAGCAGCCGCGGUAA
Molecule: ribosomal RNA, 508 nt
Filed under: uncultured bacterium
Lineage: Bacteria
Description: partial 16S ribosomal RNA
Rfam family: Bacterial small subunit ribosomal RNA
Source: RNAcentral